Molecule: ribosomal RNA, 119 nt
Filed under: Malassezia globosa
Lineage: Eukaryota; Fungi; Basidiomycota; Malasseziomycetes; Malasseziales; Malasseziaceae
Description: partial large subunit ribosomal RNA
Source: RNAcentral
AAUCUCGAGACGUGUUUUCCGUGCGGCUCUAUGGACAAGUCCCUUGGAAUAGGGCAUCGUAGAGGGUGAGAAUCCCGUACUUGCCAUGGAAGAACCGUGCUUUGCGAUACACGCUCUAA